This is a long non-coding RNA of Populus nigra (black poplar), 1444 nucleotides long. RefSeq lists it as uncharacterized. The record is from RefSeq and is a predicted model, not a curated record. NCBI's taxonomy places the organism in Eukaryota, Viridiplantae, Streptophyta, Magnoliopsida, Malpighiales, Salicaceae. The transcript is spliced from 3 exons.
CACAACUUUUAAAACGUCAAGGACACGUCAAGGACUAAAACGCAAAUAGCCAUCAACACUGUUCAUCUUCUUCACCCGACCAAAAAAAAUGGAUGCCCAACGGGGCAUCGCCAUUACUCCUUCAAUAACAAUCACUUUAUUACCUGGUAAUGGUGGCAUUCUCUGGCUAUAAAGCCAGAGAAAGAAAGCAGAAGAGGUGGAGAGAGCAUACAGAAAAAAACAAACACAGGGGGAAGAAAAAAAACAGAGGGUGAGGAGAAACGAAAAAACGAGAAAAACCAGAGGGAGCUUCCAUUCAACCAGUAGGACAUCAUGCCUUUACUACCAUCAUCUUCGUCCUGAGCAGGAGGGAACCGAGAGAAAAAAAAACAAACCCAGAACACGAGGAACCAGGGUAGCAGACUUUCAUUCCCUUGUUUCUUCUCUAAGAAACAGAGGCCGUCCUCUGGCUUUAUAAAAGCCAGAGAAGGCCACGAAGAAACAAAACUAGGAGGGGGAAGACGAACGAGCAGGGGACAGACACAGACGAAGAAGGGGACCGAGAGAGAGUUGACUGAAAACACAAACAAGAAGCAGAGAGGAGACGAACAAACAGGAGAAAAAGAGAAGGAACAAGCGCGAGGAGAAGACAUAACGGAAGGGAAGACAGACGCAGGGAGUGGCAUCAUAGCUUCUUUCCAGAAUCCCAGUGACAAGCUCAGGAAGGACUUCACCCAGCGACGACAGUGAACCAGGUUAUUGCUACUUUAGGGAUCUAUGAUAUUGCCUUAGAGAUGAGAAAGAAAGUGAUAUGUCAAAGAGUGGGUUCCCUUGUUUGUCAUCUAAAUUUGCCAGAAUGAAUUAAAUAUGAUGCACGACUGUGGAUAGAAUUUUCCUAUUUAUUGACAUUUUGAAUCCUUAUAUCAUUCUUGUAUUCUAAUAGCCUUGUCUUGGUUGUGAUGUCCUUCACAUGAUAAUAGAACUAUUGUUAUAGAAGGCCUCAAGAAGUUUGAUGAUGAGCUUUCAUUCUGGAAAACUCAAAGAUGCAACUUAUAAUAAUAAACAGAAUUGUGUAAACUUGGACUAAAAAUAUGUCAGUGCAUCAUAUCUAGUUUUCUUUCCAUACUGUUCAUAAUAACAUAUAUAUCAAAUUGUUCAUGUGGGAGUUUUAGGGAUACCUGAGUUUAAAUAUUUGAGCUUGCAAUUUUUUUAUCAAUUUACUACACAGAUUUAUUUUUGACUAGGUGGUGAAAAUAUUCUUCUCACGAAUCACUGAACUUUGUUCUUAAGAUUCCUUAUGUGUCUUAUUUCUUCAUUAAUAUGGUCUUGUUGUAACUUGUGCUGAGAGUCGGAGUGCCUCCCUCUUUUUCAUUAGAAGUAGUGCACAAUACUGUUUCAAAGGACUGAAAAUUACUCAUAUAUAUAUAUAAACUUAUGAAAUUUUUUGAGUCAAAAGAAGGAUGAA